This 494-nucleotide non-coding RNA is filed under the name Charadrius vociferus (killdeer). RNAcentral's name for it is "Eukaryotic small subunit ribosomal RNA". It matches the Rfam family "Eukaryotic small subunit ribosomal RNA", at positions 633 to 1114 of the family's 1831-position model. Lineage: Eukaryota; Metazoa; Chordata; Aves; Charadriiformes; Charadriidae. The record is from Rfam by way of RNAcentral.
GCUACAGAACUUUUUCUGUUUACUUAGUAUUCAUAAGAUUACAUAUUUUAUAAAUUAUUGCUUAUUAAAUACCAUAACAUUGGAAUUCUAAGGUUGCAAUGCCAUAAAAUUCUACAUUUCAUAAUCAGUGUUAAUAUUUGUGUGGCUUCAGAAUAGAGUCAAAUUUACAAAAGAUAUUCUGGAAUAGGAUUACAGUUCUAUUUUGUUGGGUUUUGGAAAUGGUGACAUCAUUAAGAGGGGCACCUGGGGGCAUUCGUAUUGUGACACUAGAGGUGAAAUUCUUGGACUGGUACAAGACGGACUACAGCAAAAGCAUUCACCAAGAGUGUUUUCAUUAGUCAGGAAUGAAAUUCAGAAGUUCAAAGACAAUCAGAUACCAUCGCAUUUUGGAUCACAAAGGAUGCUGAUAGGUGAUAACUUUUUUGGAGGGAGUCUCUGCAGCACAAUUGGUCAACGUGUUCAGUGGUUAACCAAAAGGUUGGUGGUUUGAGCCC